CUCGGAGUUUGAUCCUGGCUCAGGAUGAACGCUAGCGGCAGGCCUAACACAUGCAAGUCGAGGGGUAUUAGGAGCUUGCUCCUAAGAGACCGGCGCACGGGUGCGUAACGCGUAUGCAAUCUACCUUGUACAGGGGAAUAGCCCAGAGAAAUUUGGAUUAAUGCCCCCAUAGUGUUAUUGAAUCGCAUGGUUUAAUAACUAAAGUUCCAACGGUACAAGAUGAGCAUGCGUCCCAUUAGUUAGUUGGUAAGGUAA
RNAcentral lists this ribosomal RNA (255 nucleotides) under uncultured Flavobacteriaceae bacterium. Its description in RNAcentral is "partial 16S ribosomal RNA". It matches the Rfam family "Bacterial small subunit ribosomal RNA", at positions 1 to 260 of the family's 1533-position model. The record is from RNAcentral. Lineage: Bacteria; Pseudomonadati; Bacteroidota; Flavobacteriia; Flavobacteriales; Flavobacteriaceae.